RNAcentral lists this transfer RNA (68 nucleotides) under Marmota monax (woodchuck). RNAcentral describes it as "tRNA.Ala". The stretch from base 5 to 65 matches the Rfam family "tRNA", at positions 6 to 65 of the family's 71-position model. From Rfam's summary of the family: Transfer RNA (tRNA) molecules are approximately 80 nucleotides in length. Their secondary structure includes four short double-helical elements and three loops (D, anti-codon, and T loops). The record is from RNAcentral. Lineage: Eukaryota; Metazoa; Chordata; Mammalia; Rodentia; Sciuridae.
GGAUUGUGGCUCAGUGGUAGAGCACCUGCCUAGCAUGUAUGAGGCACUCAGUUCAAUUCUCAGCACCA